AUGUCACCGGAUCUACCGUCUACGGAGACCUCUAUGGUCGUAGAGGCGACUAGGACAUCAGCCUCACCGCCGAAGGAAUUGGAUCCCGCCGGCGUUAGGGGUGCAGCCUCCGUCGCCGCCAUGCAAGUUGCCGCCCACGAGAAGAACGCGCUGUGGGUCAGCAACCUGCCCGCGCAUGCGUGCGAGGAGGACGUCGUGGCGUCCUUCUCCCCGCACAAGGCACUCGACUGCAUCAUCAUGCGUGUCGGGUACCGCAGCUACGCCUUCAUCAUUUUCCGCUCCAUCGCCGAGUGUCAGACCGCCCUCGAGGUGCUCCGCGGGUCCAAGGUCAAGGGCACCUUCAUCCUGAUUGAGUUCGCCUAG
Molecule: ribosomal RNA, 363 nt
Filed under: Triticum aestivum (bread wheat)
Lineage: Eukaryota; Viridiplantae; Streptophyta; Magnoliopsida; Poales; Poaceae
Description: partial small subunit ribosomal RNA
Source: RNAcentral